GACGAACGCUGGCGGCGUGCCUAAUACAUGCAAGUAGAACGCUGAAGGAGGAUCUUGCUUCUCUGGAUGAGUUGCGAACGGGUGAGUAACGCGUAGGUAACCUGCCUCGUAGCGGGGGAUAACUAUUGGAAACGAUAGCUAAUACCGCAUAAUAGUAGAUGUUGCAUGACAUUUUCUUAAAAGGUGCAAUUUCAUCACUACCAGAUGGACCUGCGUUGUAUUAGCUAGUUGGUGGGGUAACGGCUCACCAACGCGACGAUAGAUAGACGACCUGAGAGGGUGAUCGGCCACAAUGGGACUGGGACCCGGCCCAGCCUCCUACGGGAGGGCGCAGUAGGGAAUCUUCGGCAAUGGACGGAAGUCUGACCGAGCAACGCCGGGUGAGUGAAGGAGGUUGUCGGAUCGUAAAGCUCUGUUGUAAGGGAAGAACGAGUGUGAGAGUGGAAAGUUCACACUGUGACGGUAUCUAACCAGAAAGGCACGGCUAACUACGUG
RNAcentral lists this ribosomal RNA (495 nucleotides) under uncultured bacterium. RNAcentral's name for it is "partial 16S ribosomal RNA". It matches the Rfam family "Bacterial small subunit ribosomal RNA", at positions 28 to 507 of the family's 1533-position model. The record is from RNAcentral.